AUAGCAGAGUGGGAGAGUUAGGGUAGGUCAGGUACAGCCUGCGCUCAGCCCUCACAGGCCCUGCACAAGCCCGCCAGGCCCCUGGCUCCCUUCUGGCAUUCACCAGGAGAGGUUCUGCCCAGACCAGCAGCGAGUCCCUGUGGCCCAUCGAGGCCAGAAACGCAGCCAUUGCCAAUCACUGCUUUACCUGCGCCAUCAAUCGUGUGGGCACCCUCACCAGGACUUUGGCUACUUUUAUGGCUCAAGCUAUGUGGCAGCCCCUGAUGGCAGCCGGACUCCUGGGCUGUCCCGUAGCCAGGAUGGACUGCUAGUUGCUAAGCUCGACCUAAACCUCUGCCAGCAGGUGAAUGAUGUCUGGAACUUCAAGAUGACGGGCAGGUAUGAGAUGUACGCACGGGAGCUUGCCGAAGCUGUCAAGUCCAACUACAGCCCCACCAUCGUGAAAGAGUAGCCGGCUUCAGUGCCUGCCUUGGGGUGAGGAAAACACCUCUGCCCCCGUGGAUUAGCAAGCGUGGCAGGCUUAACAUGUUCAAGUUCUCCCCAAUAACAUUGUCCAGGUUGGCUUUAAAAUCCCCAGGCAGGGGGAGAGUGGCAUGAGGAGUGACUUCUUAAUGGGUAAGGGGCUGCUUACUUCUGGGGUAUUGGAAGUGUUUGGGGACUAGGUGGAGGUGAAUGUACUAGAUGCCACUGAAUUUGUAUACUUCAGAAUGUUUCAGUUAUGUGAAUUUUACCUCAACUAAAAAAAAAAAAUGCCCAGGUAUGCUUGUGCAGGUGGAUUUGAGGUUAGGCAGAUGAUGCUGUCCAUCCUAUACACCAGUGGGAAGAGGGUGAGGGCUGAUCCAGAGACCCUGAGCCUACAGCAAGGCUGUGGUGGGUGGGAUGGUCUUUGAAUGUGUCGGCUUAGCUAGGCCACAGUCACCAGUAAUUCAAUCAGACACUAAUCUAGGUAUUUCUGUGAAAGUAUUUUGUAGAUGUGACAGAAGUCCAUUCCCCGUUGACUAAGUAAGUGAGAUUAUCUCAGAUAAUCUGGGUCAGCCUGACCUAUCAGUCAAAAGCCCUAAAGAACAGAGCUAAGGGCUUCCCUGAGGAAGAAAUUCUGCCUGUGGACAGCAGCCCAGUGCUUGGCAAGAGUUCCUGACAGCCUACCCUUCCUGAUAGCCUGCCUUAGAGUUUAGACAUGACUAGCCAGCUCCUACAAUCACUGAAGUCAAUUCCUUGCAAUAAAUCUCAAUAUAUACCCUACUGGUUCUGCUUCUCUAGUUGAAUCUGACUGAUACAGAUUUUGGUGCCAAAAGUGGUUCUAGAAAAAUAGAAUCUUAAAGAUGAGUUUUCUGCAUUGGUUCUGGAUUUUUUAGAAUUCUUCCCUAGUUUGAUUGAACUUAAAGGCAUCAGUGACUCUAUUUCCAUAGAGUCAAGGUAAAGAGGGUAGUUGGUAGUCCACAGCAUGGUGCAAAAAUAGUAAUUUAUGUGCGAGGCCAGCCAUCAGUCUGUGCCCAGAGUUCCAGCCUGCCCUUUCUGAUGGCUUGUCCUGUGGAUAUCAGACUUGCCUGACCAGAUUCCAUCAUCAUAGAAGGUAAUUUGUUUCACUAAAUCUUUUUAUAUCUCUAUCCAUCAGCUACUAAUUCUGCUAGUACUGCUUAUGUGGUUGAGCUCCAUUUUACACAUCAGAUUACUCACCUCUCUACACCUUGGUUUUUACAUCUGUAAAAUGGGACUGGGCCAGGUGUGGUGCGGUGGCUUAUGCCUGUGAUCCCAGCACUUUGGGAAGCCAAGGCAGGUGGACCACUUGAGGUCAGGAGUUCAAGACCAGCCUGGCCAACAUGGUGAAACCCCGUCUCUACUAAAAAUACAAAAAUUAGCUGGGCAUGGUGGCGCAUGCCUAUAAUCCCAGCUACUCAGCAGGCUGAGGUAUGAGAAUUGCUUGAAUCUGGGAAGCAAAGGCUGCAGUGAGCCGAGAUCAUGCCACUGUGCUCCAGCCUGGGCAACAGAGUUGAGAGCCUAUCUCCAAAAUAAAUAAAUAAAUAAAUAAAUAAAUAAAUAAAUAAAGGGGGGGACCAUAUUCCUGCUUUAUGUCAAGACAGUGGUAAGAGACAGACUAGAUGGGCCAGGGAGCUCCUUGGCAGUUAUCAGUGCAGCGCCUAUUUAGCCCUGUCCCUGCACAACACGGCAAGAGCCCAACCUGCCAAGUCUCAAACAGCAGUUAACCAGAAUAUCGGGUUGGAGGUGGGGUCGAGAUUCUGUAAUUCCCCGCUUAUUGUUCCCAAUCAGAGAAGGCAGCCAGAGAAGGCAGCUUCAUCCCUUCACUGGCCCAGCAGCUGAAUGAUAUGGAAACCUCCAUGUCAGGGCUAGGGUACUCCUGGACAGCCACCAGGGAUGAAAAACCUGAUGGAGCUGCCUGGCCACAGCUCUGCAGUAACUUCCUUGAACUCUGUACUGCAGGUUUUCACUUUACCUAAUGGCCCUCCUUGUACCUUAAAAAAAAAAAAAAAAAAAAAAAAAUUCCAGUCCCACAGACAUGGUGAGCUUUUUUGCCUGGUCCUUUAGCUUUCAAAAUUUAGUGUCAGCCAAAGCAGGCAGAUCACAAGGUCAAGAGAUGGAAACCAUCCUGGCCAACAUGGUGAAACCGCAUCUCUACUAAAAAUACAAAAAUUAGCUGGGUAUGGUGGUGCACGCCUGUAGUCCCAGGUACUCGGGAGGCUGAGGGAGAAGAAUCGCUUGAACCCACGAGGCGGAGGUUGCAGUGAGCUGAGAUCACACCACUGCACUCCAGCUUGGCAACAGAGUAAGACUCCGUCUCAAAAAGAAACACAAAAAAACAAAACACCUUAGUGUCUUUGGUUUCUAGAGGGUGUAAUCAACCUAAUACAGAAGCCAGCUUAGGUGACAAAUUGGUGCAUUUGUGAAAUAGGCAUGAAUAAAUGGACCACAACUCUUUGAUUAUCUGCAACUCUCAUUGCCUGGAAACAGAACCGUCAGGCCCAUCUUAGAGUAUGCAGGCCCUGCACAGCCAAGGUCAUUUCAAGGUUUAACUCAUCCCUGGAACAUGCAGAUGCUCAGUAAACAUUUGAAUGAA
This 3073-nucleotide small RNA is filed under the name Pongo abelii (Sumatran orangutan). RNAcentral's name for it is "processed transcript". The record is from RNAcentral. Lineage: Eukaryota; Metazoa; Chordata; Mammalia; Primates; Hominidae.